This 497-nucleotide ribosomal RNA is filed under the name uncultured bacterium. Its description in RNAcentral is "partial 16S ribosomal RNA". It matches the Rfam family "Bacterial small subunit ribosomal RNA", at positions 28 to 507 of the family's 1533-position model. The record is from RNAcentral.
GAUGAACGCUGGCGGCGUGCCUAAUACAUGCAAGUCGAGCGAAUAGACGAGGAGCUUGCUCCUCUGACGUUAGCGGCGGACGGGUGAGUAACACGUGGAUAACCUACCUAUAAGACUGGGAUAACUUCGGGAAACCGGAGCUAAUACCGGAUAAUAUAUUGAACCGCAUGGUUCAAUAGUGAAAGACGGUUUUGCUGUCACUUAUAGAUGGAUCCGCGCCGCAUUAGCUAGUUGGUAAGGUAACGGCUUACCAAGGCAACGAUGCGUAGCCGACCUGAGAGGGUGAUCGGCCACACUGGAACUGAGACACGGUCCAGACUCCUACGGGAGGCAGCAGUAGGGAAUCUUCCGCAAAGGGCGAAAGCCUGACGGAGCAACGCCGCGUGAGUGAUGAAGGUCUUCGGAUCGUAAAACUCUGUUAUUAGGGAAGAACAAAUGUGUAAGUAACUAUGCACGUCUUGACGGUACCUAAUCAGAAAGCCACGGCUAACUACGUG